GUCAAAUCCAGAUCAAGAAGCAGAGGAAAGCUCCAAACUGACCCAAGGCCAGCUGUUAGGAGCAAUCCUCCCUUUGCCCCCUCUCUGCUGUCCUCAGAAAGGAUCCUUUGUGCCAGGCCCCACGGGUGCCUCAGCACACGGUUUUAGCUUUCAUUGACACAGACUUUAGCCAAUUGGACCCUCACCUAUUCAUGGACAGGAAGGGGGCGAAUAACUUUGGUUCGGGGACAGAAAAGAUACGCUUCUGCCGUCAUUGAGAUUGCUCGUGAGCAGCGGAGGAGUCUACUCUGAGGCGAGAGGCAAAGAGACAAGAUGGGAAAUCAGCUGCCCUCUCUGAAUCUGCAUCAGCAGCUCAUGGCUGGGGUUGCUCACAACCGGGACCUCCCUGUGACCUCUAACGUGUAAUGCGCAAACGGGACCACAAGGCGGCGCAGUUGGACGUUCAAAGUGAGGCUGAUUACUUUCCUGUUUGAUGAACUCUAAUUGUGGGGAAAAAAAGGCAAAAAACAAAACAAAAAAACACCCAGGCUUACACUUGUGCUCUUCGAUUUAAAUGUUAAUGUGAUUUAAUUUAAGUAAAAAUGGAAGUUAAAAUAUACAAAAAAAAUUAAAAGUGUUGACUAUCAGGAGUCAGUGAGGUGAAAAAAGUAAAAACACUACAUUUUUUACUUAAGCUUUUACGCACACGUUUGUCUCUUCAAAGAGAAAAUGUAAAAUGACGCCAACCAGAUGUAUGCAUCCAUGGCCACCAGGGGGAGACAUUGCAGUUUCCUAUAACAGCGACGCUUUCCCUGGACGUCUGGAUGGAACAAUGUGUACAACGCCCCAUCAAGUUUUCCAACAAAUUUAGACUUUUUCCAUAACUUUGCAUGCAUUAAAAGCUUUGAAAAGACACUAGGCUGAGUAUUCAUAAAUCUCACUCAAAGCAACACAGCUUUUUUUUUUUCUUUUCUCUGCCUGGAGCGCAAAUUCUCCCUAAUAAUUGUAUCCUUGGAAAAAAAAACGAGAGAGAAAAGUGAAGAAUCCUGUAAAUGUGCUCAAUCCGUUGAGUUUAAUUCAGCAGUGCUUUGAGCUGUCUUCACGUUGACCUUGAUGUAACUCCCAAACAAAAGCCAAGCGCAAGAUCCUGAAGCAGUGGGACCCGAAAAAAAGAAGAAUAUCCAUCACAGAAAAAAAAAGCAGAUAUUCAAACUUACAUUGACAUGUUGCUAGGUAUGAAGUUACUGCAAGCAGCAACAGAAUCCGGGUAUCCACAAAGCUGAGCAUGUCUAAAUAGACAUGCAGACUCCUUGUGCUGCUGUGCCCCUGUUU
Molecule: long non-coding RNA, 1311 nt
Organism: Solea senegalensis (Senegalese sole)
Lineage: Eukaryota; Metazoa; Chordata; Actinopteri; Pleuronectiformes; Soleidae
Exons: 2
Source: RefSeq, a predicted model, not a curated record